CGCAUAACAGGUAAAAGUUACCUUUCUAUCAUUAAUAUAUUAACAAACAUUAAAGGGAAUAAUUUUAGUGUCAGUUGCGCUGACUUGUAUUUUUAAUGUAUUUUUCAAAGUCGUGUCAGUCUAGUAAUUGUAUUAUCAGUGUGCAAAUAAGUGGGAUGUUUGAAGGAAAUAGCAGUUUGAAUCGGGUGAUGCCUUCUGGUUCCUGGUAGGCUGUGGAGAGCAGCACUGGGGUGCUGAUGGUGCUGGGGAAUGGGAGGAGUGAAGAGGCGGCAGGAGGUGAGUCUGCGGCAGCGGGGGUGAGGCCCUGGCUCACAGAGAAUUAUCCAAAGAGUUGAAAGUGAUAAAACCCCACACAGAUCAAUCAAAUAUGUUACAACUAAUUCGUAAGUUAGGCAGCCUGGCAUCGACAGUGAUACAAAAAUGCUCCCCAAUUAAGUCUGCUCAUUUCCAAGAAGUGGGAAUAGUCCUUUGGGUCAUUCCACAAUUCUUUUAGUGCUGGGCAGUAUAAAAUAUGUUUUUAAUUUCCAUUUUUUUUUUGCAGAUUAUCAUUUUCAAGUCCUAUAGAGCCUUGAGAGAGUAAUACCCUCCACUGAUGCUUGUAAUGGCCCAUAAAAAUUAUGGGAAACAGAAAUCAGAAACAUUUUUGUGAGCUGACAGUGGAUGAUCCGGUACAAAAGAGAAGCAAUUACACAAAAGCAUCCUUCUUUCAGAAAUGUGUGUUGGAGUCCUCGGCUCUUCCAUCGUCUCCCAUCUUCUUUCUACUGAGUCCCUUCACAGGACUGGGGAGAACAGAGACAGCUACUAAUUGCAAUCACCCAUGGAGGGGAAAGGAAGAAGUGCAUGUUUCUGAAUAUAACAUUAAUGCUACAGGUCUUGUAUGUUAAUUUGUCUGACAACAUCUGUAUAUAAGGAAUCAGGAGUAAAUAUGCCCAGCUGCUGACCUGAUAAAUAGCUGCAUGGCUGAGCUGUGUAAGGAAUACAAUUCUGCUUCUGUUAACUUGGUGCUUCAGAGAGUGGCAAGUAUAGUCAAACUGGUGCACAAAUGACCUCAGAUCUUUCCUGGUUGUAUAAGAAAAAAAAAAAACAACUCACAAGACUGUGUGGUAGGACAAAAUAAUUUCUACUCCAUUAAAUAGCCGUUACUAAGGUGUCUUUCAGCUACAAACUAUAAUUUCAGCUACCUAGGAGUACGGAAAUUGGUUCUAUUAUAUGGGAAUCUUUCUUCCUUUUUAGAGUGCAAGAUAGCCUCAAUUACCAAUGAUAAUAUAAGGUCCGGCUUCCAACUACCAGUAAUUACUGCAGGCUUUUAAAAUUUUGCUCUGCUGUUAAGUAUCGUUCAUUUUAAAUUGUGUAUAUUUGUGCUUUUUUUUUUUUUUCUGUGUUAAGUAAGCCAAGGAAAACCAACCAACCAGCAGUUUAGCCAAAUUGUCCAGUUAUGUAUAUGCUAUUAGAAAGUAUGAAUUUCAGAUAGCCACUAUACUACAGUAUGGCACAAAAACUAAUUUGUUUUACAGUUUUGUCUUAAUAUCUUGGGUAAAAAGCUGGAGAAGUAUUGGGUACAGAAAAAAAUAUUUUGCAUAAGUCUGUUGCAUUCUAGUCUGGUCAUGUUUUGUACAGAUGUGAGGGUGAGGGCAGGAGGGAAUAAGUCACAUGCAGCAUGUGAGGUUGCGGGGUCUGGGAAGGAAGGUGGAAAGGUGUGGUUCCUGCUGCUAUGGAUGUUACAGCAGCAUAGGUCAAGAGCUGGAGUUGCUCUGAAGGACUUAAGUUCCCCAGAGCUUCACAAGCAAGAUCCUUUUGGAUCUAAUGUUAGCAGGCUUUUGGAUAGGACA
This is a long non-coding RNA of Chrysolophus pictus (golden pheasant), 1829 nucleotides long. The record is from Ensembl. Lineage: Eukaryota; Metazoa; Chordata; Aves; Galliformes; Phasianidae.